AUGGUUGUAGAUGUUUUCAGAGGAUCUGCUGCUGCUGUUGGAGUUCAGCGGAUCAGAAGAAGCUGCAGGGCGUGGUUUAAACAUCAGCUGCGGCGUAAACUCCUCCAGAUAACGGCUGGACGGUUUCCUGCACAGGAAGAUGAAGAUCUUAUCCAGACGCUUACUGGAUCUGCAGAUACCAGAUCUUCUGCCGGCUCCAUCCGCCGGAGCCAAACCAAUCAGAUCUUUCAUCUGAAGACUUCAUGAAUAUUUGACAACAGAGACAAACUCCAUCUUUAUGUUGCAUCAAACUCAGGUCAUAAAAACAGAUUUUAAUCUAUCAGAGUUUACAUGAUGAUGUUUCCACUUUUCUUUUUGUGAAACAGUUUUAAAGUCAGGAUUUUCUGGUGAUAAAGAUCUCAAACGGAUGUAGGAACCUGCUGAAGAACCCAGGUGUUCCUCAGAAUGCUCCAGACCAUCAUUCUACCACCACCAUGCGCUCUGAUGUUUUUUGUCUUAAAAAAACGUGUUGGAAUCCAGAAAGUUCUUCUGUCUCAUCAGAACAUCAGUGGAUCAUCCAGACGUUCCAGCAGAACCAAACGUCUCUUUUUGACAGUUGGAUCGUGACCUCUGACCUCCUGGAUCAGAUCUGGUUGUGUUUCUGGACUCAACCCUGAAUGUUCUGCACAGUUCUAUUGGGUCAAAUCAGGACCAGGAAAAUGUAAAAACAGGCAUUGUAAAUAUAAAAAAAGAACAUUUGAAAGCAGUUUUGAACUUGAAAAUACGUGUUGAAAACUUGAAGAAAUUGUUGAAAAUUUUAAAAAAUAAUAUUGAAAACUUGAAGGAAAUAUUUAGAAAAAAAAAACAUUUGAAACACGGAUUAAAAUGUUUUUUUUUUAUCAAUUUUAAAAAUAAUGUUUUGUUUUUCUUUCAACUUUUUUUUCAUUUACAUGUUUGUUUUCAGUUUCAACUCUUUCAAGAGAAAGAAUCUGGAGAAUACUACUGAAAAAAAAUAUGGCGCCUGA
This 1004-nucleotide long non-coding RNA is filed under the name Oryzias javanicus (javanese ricefish). Its description in RNAcentral is "lncRNA (ENSOJAG00000020931.1)". The record is from RNAcentral. Lineage: Eukaryota; Metazoa; Chordata; Actinopteri; Beloniformes; Adrianichthyidae.